This 254-nucleotide ribosomal RNA is filed under the name uncultured bacterium. RNAcentral's name for it is "partial 16S ribosomal RNA". It matches the Rfam family "Bacterial small subunit ribosomal RNA", at positions 524 to 776 of the family's 1533-position model. The record is from RNAcentral.
UACGUAGGGUGCAAGCGUUAAUCGGAAUUACUGGGCGUAAAGGGCGCGUAGGCGGCCAGCGCAAGUCAGUUGUGAAAUCUCCGGGCUUAACUCGGAAAGGUCAACUGAUACUGCGCGGCUAGAGUGCAGAAGGGGCAACUGGAAUUCUCGGUGUAGCGGUGAAAUGCGUAGAUAUCGAGAGGAACACCUGCGGCGAAGGCGGGUUGCUGGGCUGACACUGACGCUGAUGCGCGAAAGCUAGGGGAGCAAACGGG